This 234-nucleotide ribosomal RNA is filed under the name uncultured Candidatus Saccharibacteria bacterium. RNAcentral's name for it is "partial 16S ribosomal RNA". It matches the Rfam family "Bacterial small subunit ribosomal RNA", at positions 584 to 818 of the family's 1533-position model. The record is from RNAcentral. Lineage: Bacteria; Candidatus Saccharimonadota.
UAAGUUGGUAGUGAAAGCGUGGGGCUCAACCUCAUAUCCAUUACCAAAACUGCAGAGCUAGAGAAUGAGAGAGGUGGCUGGAAUUCCCUGUGUAGGAGUGAAAUCCGUAGAUAUAGGGAGGAACACCGAUGGCGUAGGCAGGCCACUGGCUCAUUUCUGACACUAAGGCACGAAAGCGUGGGAGCAAACGGGAUUAGAUACCCCGGUAGUCCACGCCGUAAACGAUGGAUGCUA